CCUACGGGUGACAGCAGUGAGGAAUAUUGGUCAAUGGGCGAGAGCCUGAACCAGCCAAGUCGCGUGAAGGAUGAAGGAUCUAUGGUUUGUAAACUUCUUUUAUAUGGGAAUAAAAUGUUCCACGUGUGGGAUUUUGUAUGUACCAUAUGAAUAAGGAUCGGCUAACUCCGUGCCAGCAGCCGCGGUAAUACGUAGGCUCCGAGCGUUAUCCGGAUUUAUUGGGGUUAAAGGGAGCGUAGGUGGUUUGUUAAGUCAGUUGUGAAAGUUUGCGGCUCAACCGUAAAAUUGCAGUUGAAACUGGCAGUCUUGAGUACAGUAGAGGUGGGCGGAAUUCGUGGUGUAGCGGUGAAAUGCUUAGAUAUCACGAAGAACUCCGAUUGCGAAGGCAGCUCACUGGACUGCAACUGACACUGAGGCUCGAAAGUGUGGGUAUCAAACAGGAUUAGAUACCCCAGUAGUC
This 460-nucleotide ribosomal RNA is filed under the name uncultured bacterium. Its description in RNAcentral is "partial 16S ribosomal RNA". It matches the Rfam family "Bacterial small subunit ribosomal RNA", at positions 338 to 795 of the family's 1533-position model. The record is from RNAcentral.